CGGCACGGGCGAGUAACACGUAUCCAACCUGCCGUCUACUCUUGGACAGCCUUCUGAAAGGAAGAUUAAUACAAGAUGGCAUCAUGAGUCCGCAUGUUCACAUGAUUAAAGGUAUUCCGGUAGACGAUGGGGAUGCGUUCCAUUAGAUAGUAGGCGGGGUAACGGCCCACCUAGUCUUCGAUGGAUAGGGGUUCUGAGAGGAAGGUCCCCCACAUUGGAACUGAGACACGGUCCAA
This 236-nucleotide ribosomal RNA is filed under the name uncultured bacterium. Its description in RNAcentral is "partial 16S ribosomal RNA". It matches the Rfam family "Bacterial small subunit ribosomal RNA", at positions 100 to 334 of the family's 1533-position model. The record is from RNAcentral.